This 6441-nucleotide long non-coding RNA is filed under the name Sus scrofa (pig). RNAcentral's name for it is "lncRNA (ENSSSCG00050077362.1)". Lineage: Eukaryota; Metazoa; Chordata; Mammalia; Artiodactyla; Suidae. The record is from RNAcentral.
UUGUUAACCACUGAGCCACAGUAGGAACUCCUCAUCUCAUGUUUUCAUCGGUAGUUUAUACAGCUUCUGGUCAUUGUGAUCUGUCUGUUCUUUGAUUCACAAAUGCUUUAAUAUAUUUGUAACAAGUACACAUACCAUGUUUUAUAAAGUAAUGAAAUGCAAUAUGCAUAAUUAGAGUUCUAGAAAUAAUUCAGGUGAGUUUUAAUUCCUGAUCUUUCAUUUCUUAAUUUUUCCAUGUUAAUAGAGACCUAAAUUAUAUUUUGUACAUACUGAAAUUCAUAGAUAUUUUCUUAUAUUUAUAAAUUGCUAUGCAUAUAUAUAAUUGCUUUAUUAUUUGCUCAAACAGGACCAUGGUAUGUAUGAAAUCUCUAUUAAAUCUCUUUUUUUGGUCAUUUUUCUCCACUUGUAUGUGGCACACCCAGUCAAGUCUGGGAAAUGAGGGCUGGCAAGUGCACCUCCAGAGAUGUCAGCGUGAUCACUGUCGUUUGAGGCGUCUGCAAGGGAUGUGUGAUGGUGUGAUGAGAAUGAAAUCAAGGUAUUACAGUUAUUCUUUGCAGGGAGGAGCAGGGAGGGAAAAAAAAGCCAUCUUGUCCGCACCUGGAGUCUCCUCAUUUACUGUUACUGUAUUGGCUGGGUAUGAGUACCUCAAGCCCUACACACCCGACUGAGAACUUCCGUUUCUGUAACCCUUUUUACUGGAAAAUAGGAAAAUCUUCCCAGGUGAGCAUAUGCUUGAAUCCUAGCAAAUGCCUCCAUGUUAUUUCAUGGUGUAGCUAGCAUAAAGUCUAACCAGUCUUUUGGAAUUGAACUCAUAAGUGUAUUUUUAACCCUUUCACAUUUCUUUUUCAACUUUUUUUUUGGCGGGGGAGUACUCCCAUGGGAUGUGGAAGUUCCCAGGCCAGGGAUAAAACCCCGUACCCCAGCUGUGACAGUGCUAGGUCCUUUAACUACUAGGCCACCAGGAAACUCCUUAAAUUGAAAUUUUAAACCUGCUUUUGAUUACCAAAUUCAGAAGAUUAAUGUGAGAGAAGUAAGACCUUAGUAUUAAGUGAUUCAAAAUAGUAUUUCUGUUUCAUGGGUGCUAAAAUAUACCUGCACAUGGAACAGAAUUCAGAACUCCGUGAAAGAGCUGGUGUCCAGAGGGUUGAUGUCACACAGCACAGGUAGAGCAGUUGGAGCUGGACAGUGGCUGUGCUUCUAAUGUGAGCUCUCCAGCUUUGGAUCUUAAUUCCUCCUAACAGGGAUGGUUCGAUCCCUCUUUCUCAGGUUACAGGUUUGAUACAAUAUCCUGCUCCCUAAAGUAAAAAGUUUUUUUCCAGCUAGCCUUCAUCUAGAUGUGGAUGGUUUAGCUAGAGUAAGUAUGCUUAGCGGUCGAAUUGCUUAUGCUUCCUUCCUGUCUCCCCAUCCGCCGUUGUGCUGUGUUAGACUAAGCAAAUCCCUUAUUCCAGACAGAUUGGAUUUCCUGGGAGGAUGUAGGAGGAAACCAUGGCAGAAAGGCCUCUGGUCUCCCAGGGAGGAAGAAUGAAGGGCAAAGGCUUCUAGAAUCCUUUUAAAACAUGAGAUGGCAUGACAGUUGUCAGUGAGAGAAUUAAGGUUUUUUUCCUUAAAACUUUGUCACUUACAAAAUGGGUUUGUGUUCUGAGUGUUACAGAGCAUGAUAUUUUGAAAAAAGUCUUUCCCUGGGAGUUCCCAUUGUGGCUCAGUGGUAAUGAACCCAACUGAUAUCCAUGAGGUUGCAGGUUCAAUCCCUGGCCUUGCUCAGUGGGUUAAGGAUCCAGCAUUGCUGUGAGCUGUGGUGUAGGUCGCAGAUGCAGCUCAGAUGUGGCAUUGCUGUGGCUGUGGCGCAGGUCGGCAGCUGCAGCUCCGAUUCAACCCCUAGACUGGGAACCUCCAUAUGCUGCAGGUGUGGCCCUAAAAAGACAAAGAAGAAGAAAAAAGUCUUUCUCUUAGUCACUCCCAUAAACUGAUAAUUUUAAAUUUGCUGAACCGCAAGGAGUCUGUCAUGCCCAUCAGUAAAUACAUGUCAUGAGGCCCAGGUGUUUAGGGAUAAAACCAUUUGCUCAAGUGCAGGACUGUGUGUGGCCGUCAGCUGCACAUUACUGCUUGUGAAAAGGAAAAGAUUCUUAACUUUUCUACUGAUUUCCUUUUCUUUGGACUUUGUGUUUCAGUCCCUUUUCAUCCCCGAACCAGCCCUUUACCCAGCCUGGACCAGCUUGUUGUCUAGGCUUCCCUGGGAAGAUCUGUGCUUUGGCUUGAUUCUCCCUCUACUGCAGGAAGAGACUGAGCUUGCCCAGGGGCCGGCUUGGGGGGAAGCCGCCCUCACCGCUUGCCUGCGCUUCUCUGCCCAGGUGUGUGUGAGAUGUUUGACCUCGAGAUUAUGAUUGCCAUUGGUGGCAGCUUGCUGAUGACCGCAUUUGUGCUGAUGGCUGUUGUCGUCUGUCUUUACUACAAAAUGGCCAGCACAUCAAAGUGAGUGAUGUGGCUGCGAGCGGCCAACACCCCCUCCAGUGGGAUCCCCCCGAGGCUCUGCUUGAGCAGGGUCACUCCUUGCCCUGCGGCCACGCCCUGGGGAGUCAGGAACAGCGGGAGGCUGGAGAAGACAAAGGCAGGGAGUGUAGAAUCUUGGCUUCCACCCCUUCUGGUUUGGGGCUGUGAGCUCAUAAGGAGGAAGUUCUCGGCCUGGUGGCUCUGCAGCUUUGCUGUCACUUGACCUCUGGGGUCUCCCCUCAGCUGGCUGGGGCCACAGCUCUGCAGACUGAAGACUGUGAGUGAGCCUCUGCCUCUGUUCUCCCAGUCAGUCUCCUCCCGCCUGAGUUGGGGAGCUCUCGGGGGGGUCCCCUCAUUCAUGGCCGUGGGGACGGGGAGGAGGGCCCGGAGAGCUCUGGGGAAGCUGAGCUGUGUGGGAUCCUGGGGGAGCUGACAAGGGGUGUAGAUCAGACAAGAGAGCCUUAAAUUUGGGGGGAAGGAACGUCAAGUAUGGGAGACAUUGGCCGUCAGAGGCAGUGGUGUUCCCGUUGUAGGGAAGUUCAGCCUGCAAGCUGGAAGGUAAAUCCCAGAACGCGGGGACAGCGACUUUGGCCCAUCCUGGGUCGGCUCUGCACCUGGCAGAUUGCAGCAACCAUGGGGGACCCCUACUUCUCUCCCCCUAAUUUGCUGUGACUGGAUCUUACAUUUGUGGCAAUCCUAGGAGAGGAAGGGGCUGGGCAGGAAGGUGGGACAGGGCAGAGCACUUGAAUCUUGGGCUGGUGUCCUGUGUUUGACUGGCUCUGGCCCUAAACUUCCCAGAGACCCCUGACAAUGGUAACAGACGACUGAGAUAGAAAUUCUAAUCCCAUGUUUUGUGUAUGUUUUUCAAGUGUGGCAAAGGCGCCCAUGGCUAGGGCCAAAACCAGUGGUAAUCGAGACAAGGUCACCGAGGCUACCUCGUCCACCCCUGAGUCUUAUCCCAGCCUCCAGUGCUGCGAAGAAUGUGGCUUGUCUGCCGACUUUGAUCCUCCACUGUGCUUCUGUGACAUGAACAAGGGAACCCUGAAUACAAAGUGAUUAGUAGAAGGUAGUUGUAAACACUGACUGCUACGUACAACCAGCUGCAGAAAUAAGGACUCUGUCAUGAAUAUUUCCUCCUCAUCUGUUAUGAAUACGCUGUGUUUGUGUUUACAUAUAUUAAGCAAAUAUCUUUGUUUUCUUCCCUCUCUUUUCCCCGUAUCAUAUCAUGUAACAUAAGAGAUACUAACUUUAUAUCAGCAUUUAGUAUUUAAUUUUACAUCUUAGUGAUUGAGUUAUGGGAAAUCAGGAAAAUAGUAAACAUCACUCAAGAACUUACCUCCUUGGCUGAAGAAGGAACUACUGGAGUUCCCGUCGUGGCUCAGUGGUUAACAGAUCUGACUAGGAACCAUGAGGUUGCAGGUUUGAUCCCUGUCCUUGCUCAGUGGGUUAAGCAUUUGGCGUUGCCGUGAGCUGUGGUGUGGGUCACAGACAUGGCUCGAAUCCCAAGUUGCUGUGGCUCUGGUGUAGGCUGGCAGCUACAGCUCCAAUUAGACCCCUAGCCUGGGAACCUCCAUAUGCUGCAGGUGUUGCCCUAAAAAGCACACGCACACACACACACAUUCAGGUUUCAUUAGCAGCACCAGCAGAGGGCAUGGAGACACAGCAGAAAGAAGAGUUGAGAGACAGUACGGUCCUACUGUAUAGCACAGGGAUAUAGCUAAUAUGAGAUAGAUCGUGAUGGAAAAUAUAUUAAAAAUAUUAUUUUGAUAGGGUUGUUCUGAAGAUUCAAUAGAAUGUCCUAGAGGAAAGAUCUUAAUUUAGAGACAAAUAAGGUAAAAAUAUAAGCUUCUGAGAGGAUUAGCUUCUCACAAUACAGUGCUUACCAGUAAGAUGAAGUUGCAAUAAUUUUCAGAGCAGUCCUUUUCUCAGACUUCUAAAAAAUACUUUCUUGAAAAUAAGAAUUCUCCUAAUGGUCUGCAUGACAUUAAAGUCUUGGUCACUUCAGUGUUUUGAAUCUCAUCACAGAGUGGUAUAUAUACAUCAUCACAAAAUCCUAGUGAAUGUGAACAGUCAGUAGAGCUGCACUUUGAUAUAAAAGAUUCGGGAAGGUCCAAAGCUUAAGAAGACAUUUUCUUCAAGCCUUGUAACAGUUUUUCUCUUCCAUGUUAAGUUGAGCAAGUCAGUUGGCUAUUCUUAUCACAAGAUUGUGUGCUUAUAACAAAAUCUCAAAAUAACAGUGACUGGAACAAGUACGAAUUUGAUUUUUCUCAUCUUCAAGAUGCCCAGCAGCAGGCAGUCAGGCCGGCUGUCUUUCCUGUGUCGGGGCCGUGAUGCUCUGGUGUGGCUUCUUUUCCCAAAGUCGUAUCCUGGUCCAAGAAGACUGCUGGGUCCCUAACCUUCAUGUCCAAAUUCUGGACAACAGGAAGGAGGCUGGAAGGAGCUGUGCAGCCCACCUCUGUUUGAAGUCCUGGGCCAGACAGGACUGAAUCUCAUGGUCUUCAGGAAAAGCUCAGAAAUAGCGUUAGUUCCAGGCGUGAAUUGCAUGGUAAACAUCGGUGUUGUAACAGGUGUCGCCUGUCAGGAGCCCUCUCCACCUCAAACAUGACGUGAUUAUUUCUGACUCUUCUAAAAAUGCGUAUAAAACACGUUUUGAUUCUGUUAAUUCACAUCUCUGCAGUAGUGCAUUAACAUUUAAUGUGGCUCUUGUCCUGAGUGUCAUGUUUUUAACCCAUUAGUGAGCUCUUACAUCUCAGACAUGAGUGAAAGCAUGUGCCACUUACUUAGAACAGUGCCUGAGUUGUGUUCAUAAAUGUUAGCCUGGCUCUAAGCACCGCAGAGGGCAGCAAGAUUCAACCCUGACUGCUCUAGGUCCUUCCACUGAGCCUCUAGAACCCCCUUCUAUGCACCGCCUCAUCUGUAGCCACAAUCUGUACUUCUUGUGAUAAUAGAACCCUUGUUUUGAGCAGUUCAUGCUUAAAGAGUUAACUAGUGACAGGAGGUUACCUACUAGAAGAGAUUAAAAAAAGGAUAAAUAGGAAGUGAAGGAAGAAGCUACGCCCUCUGGGAUGAACAAUGAUGGAAUUAAACAUCUUCCAAAGGUCCCUCCCCACUGAGUUUCAGUCUUCUCAACACAGGGCUUGGCGGAUGGCAUAGUCAGGAUUGUAAUGACAGCAGAAUUUGCCAGAAGGGCUCUCUUUUUGGUGUGGCUGAGAAACACCAGUGGGUGAGUGCUGUCGGCCCCAGUACAAGUUUUUAAGAUGUAAAUUCAGGACUGCAUCCUCCCUGGAGGUGCUCAGUAACCCUCCGCCUCGAGUUCCAGGGCAUUGCUCUGCCUCUCUUCUGGCAUCUAUUCCGUCUCAUUUGUCCCCAUGUGCUCCAACUUUCUCUUGCCACCAGGAAGCUCCAUAUCAUACACAGCACAUCCGAUUCCCUCUGCACCCCACCCAGGGGCAGUACAAUGUCCAGCUUUGGGAGGCCAUGACACGCAUGUUCCGUGUGUGGGAAUAUGUCUCAUGUCCAGGCCUCACAGGUGCACCAUGGAAGCAGGAUGGGGCAAGGGGUCUUUGGGACAACUUUCUGGUAGACGGUAGGGACAGAGCUUGUAACCUGGGCUUUCGAGCCAAGGAGAUCUUGUUCAAAUCCAACUCUGCCUUUCACUCUGUGAGCCUCGGUUUCCCAGCUGCAAAAUGCAGGCUAGCACAGGUGACCAUUGAAUGAGAUGAGGUUUGUCAUGUUUGCCAGACUUGGAUCUGAGUCCAAAGGUAAGAAAUUGAACCAGGUUUUACAAACAAAACAGGGCCAUUCAAGAGGCACCUGCGAGGGGUUCUCUGGUGGCCUAGUGUUUAAAGAGCCAGUGUUGUGGCUGCUGUGGCUCAGGUUACUGCUGUGGUGUGGGUUUGAUCCUGGCCCGGGAACUUCUGCAUGCUGCUGGCAUGGCCAAAAAAAAAAAAAAAA